CCUGUGGUGUAUGGUUGCACGGGCGGUCUCUAAAACCGCGGCUUCUGAAGCGAACGGAGGGGGUUCGAAUCCCUCCAGGG
Molecule: transfer RNA, 80 nt
Filed under: Bacteriophage sp.
Description: tRNA-OTHER
Source: RNAcentral